Daphnia pulicaria is the source of this 1038-nucleotide long non-coding RNA. RefSeq lists it as uncharacterized. Lineage: Eukaryota; Metazoa; Arthropoda; Branchiopoda; Diplostraca; Daphniidae. The record is from RefSeq and is a predicted model, not a curated record. The transcript has 6 exons.
UCGAAGGUCACGGAGAUCAUUACGUAAAACGUGUCAGGCAUUGGUGUAGAGGUUGGGUGAGAACGGGACGUUUUGCUUCAUUAUCAAGAAGGUAAAAUAGCUAUUAGGCUUGAGAGGAGGGGUGAGAAAAAAUUGUAUAAAAGGCGAGAGAAAAGUUGGCAGGGAUCAGUCGAGUGAGCAUCUCCGACACGGCAACAACUCCAUAUUUCGUCGUAAUAUCAGUUCGCAAUCACGGCUAAUUAUGGCAUUGUGUUGCUGUUGGGUGCUGUAUCGUUGAUGUCGACCACGAGAAAAAAUCUUUCAAAAGGAAAGAGAAAAGGCAACAGAAGUCAAUCGAGUGAGCAUCUCCGACCCGGCAACAACUGGAUCUUCGUCGUAUUACCAGGUCGCAAUCACGGUUACCUAUGCCGUCGUGCUGCUAUUGGUUGUUGUAUCGUUGAUGGCUGGGUCGAACACUGGUGUACCGAUGUCUUCUGGAUAAGGCGGAUACCAAACCGCAACGCCGCCGCCUUACUACACAACAACAUACGCAACGACCAGUUACUACACCGAGGUUGCACAGUUGGGUUUACAGUUAAACUACCAAGGAUUCAGAUUAUUACACCAUAACUUGUGCUGCUCCCCGAGCUACACUACCAAAGCGCAGAGUACUACACCGAGGCUCCUAAGUACUACACCACCGAGGCAUCUACUGAGACUAAGCAACUACGUAUGCUGCCCCAACCUACGACACCGAGGCUCCAGCUUAUUACACCACUAAAGCUGUCGAAUACUACACUGGAGCGCCCAAGUACGAUAGAAGUCAGUCAAGUGAGCUUCUCCGACACGCAACACGGCAGCCCCGAAGUUUCGAAUAAUCUUCGUUUCAAACAGUGGAACGACAAAGAGUGAGGCAAAGAUAAUGGCGGCGUAGCAUUCGUACGUGUACACCGCGUCGUUAAACUUGACAUUGUCGGACGGAAAGCCGAACUUGACGAUGGCCGUGCCAUAAGCCUACGACAAGUGCCUUAUUGCCACAGGUGGUAAACAAAACUCUUU